Molecule: transfer RNA, 89 nt
Filed under: Saccharomyces cerevisiae (brewer's yeast)
Lineage: Eukaryota; Fungi; Ascomycota; Saccharomycetes; Saccharomycetales; Saccharomycetaceae
Rfam family: tRNA
About the family: Transfer RNA (tRNA) molecules are approximately 80 nucleotides in length. Their secondary structure includes four short double-helical elements and three loops (D, anti-codon, and T loops). Further hydrogen bonds mediate the characteristic L-shaped molecular structure. tRNAs have two regions of fundamental functional importance: the anti-codon, which is responsible for specific mRNA codon recognition, and the 3' end, to which the tRNAs corresponding amino acid is attached (by aminoacyl-tRNA synthetases). tRNAs cope with the degeneracy of the genetic code in two manners: having more than one tRNA (with a specific anti-codon) for a particular amino acid; and 'wobble' base-pairing, i.e. permitting non-standard base-pairing at the 3rd anti-codon position.
Source: RNAcentral
CUCUCGGUAGCCAAGUUGGUUUAAGGCGCAAGACUGUAAUUUAUCACUACGAAAUCUUGAGAUCGGGCGUUCGACUCGCCCCCGAGAGA